ACAUUUUCACUUACCUUUCAUUUUUUGACAUUUUCAUCCUUAAUUUAUAUGUUCAUUGCAAAAAUCCCGGCGCCUUCAAAUAAGUAAUUGGAUGUUUAAAUAUUUGAUUCGAUAGAUGCAAGAUUCCCAAAUACUACUAGAAUGUUCGCGAUAUGCCUCUCUUUCACAAGUUUAUACAUAUAUACAAGGUUUUCAGUACUUUUAAAUGAAUUCAUGUCCCAAGCCAUUAUCGUAUUAAUAACAAGACAAACAAACCAAAAGCAAGAGGCAAACACGAGUGGCAGAACGAAACAAGGAAGAAAAGACAGAAAAACUAUACAUUCCACACUUAAAUCUAAAAAAGAUCUCCAAUUCUCAAUUCCAAAACUAAGAGGUAAUUUAAAGACUCGAUGAACCGAUAUUCCAAUUUGGUUUUCACAGAUAGAACGGGUUUGUAAAUGGACGGCGGUGAGAUCAGAAGUACCUGCAUCAUAGACCCAAAAGAACAAACAAGGAAUAAAGAUUGUAUAAAUUAAACAAUCCUCAAAUUAAUGAUUACCACAAUUCCUCAGUACAUCAGGAACACGAAGAGUAAUCUGUAAAAGAUUAUAUUCCUUUAUUGAAAGGUGAAUGACAUUU
RNAcentral lists this long non-coding RNA (618 nucleotides) under Olea europaea (common olive). RNAcentral's name for it is "long non-coding RNA (OEUR_LNC006854)". The record is from RNAcentral. Lineage: Eukaryota; Viridiplantae; Streptophyta; Magnoliopsida; Lamiales; Oleaceae.